UUUCAAUUUUUUGGGCUUUCUACUCUUCUAAGCCCAGAACGUUACCUCAUCUCUUCCCGUGGUCGUCGAAUCAGUUACCUAGCUCUAGCCGACUUUGCAAAACCUCCAUUGAAACGCUUCACUCUGCAUUCAUACCAAGCAAUAAUUCUUCUCAUUAUUUCCUCCUAUCCACGAAACCCACUACGUCCUACUUAAUUUUCCUUUAUUACCUUUUCUAGGUUUCUGAUCUUAUAAAUAGGGAUGAAAGCGUCACAAAUCUCAUCGCUUCUUAGCUUCUAUGCUUUAAUUUCUUUUUAAACCAUUGUUACGACGAUGGCAAAUUAUUUUUAGGUCGUUGUAUGCAAACUGUUGUGGCGCCUCAUCUUUGCUACUGGGAAGCCCGGAGAGUGAAGAAAAGUGGGGGAGUUUAUGGGUACUUGCUACUUCUAGAUGGGAAGUUCAUCGUCUAAAGAUGCCACCGCUGAAGAGCUAGAGCGCUCUGUGAAUGAACGCCUCUCCAAACCUUAUCGAGGAUCAUUGUUCUAGAGGCCCAGACCAGGGCCAGUUAAACAAGUUGCUCGAAAAGGAGAGGCAGAGAGCGGCAGAGAAUACACAAGAGUAUCUGGCAGCUAAGGAGGAAGCCGAUACCCUAGAAGGUCGAGCAAACCAACUUGAAAUGUAAAUUAGGAAACUGCGGAGAAAACAUAAGCAAGUGUUACAAAAAGGGCAGCUCCAAAACGAGCUUAUUCAGAAGGUGCUACAUAGUCUUACAGAAGAAACAAUCACUUCAGACUUUCAGACUCUGUGCCUCUGAGUAACUCUGCCUUAAUCUUCAUGAAUCUGCUUCUGAGUUGUUGAUGCAGUUGGGAGGUAUAACAAAAUUACGUUCUGUUUCAAUA
This is a long non-coding RNA of Raphanus sativus (radish), 878 nucleotides long. RefSeq lists it as uncharacterized. NCBI's taxonomy places the organism in Eukaryota, Viridiplantae, Streptophyta, Magnoliopsida, Brassicales, Brassicaceae. The transcript is spliced from 3 exons. The record is from RefSeq and is a predicted model, not a curated record.